CUUAACACUAUUUCUAUGUAAUUAUACAAGACUUUCUUAUUUACAUUUUAGCAAUUGCUGCAACUAAAGUAGAUGAUGUUCGAGAAGUCUUAGACUAUUAUAAAAAUUUUGAUGAUCCUCUUGAGGCAUUUAAAGACAACCAAAGAAAAUUACAAGUUAGUAUUACUUAUUGCAUAUAUCAAGAAAAGGUACAGCAGAGAUUAAAAAAAAAUCCAUCUGUAUUUUGAAAGUUGGUUUUCUUAUUACCGGUAUAGAUUAUGCUUGAUUAUACUUACAGCAAUUCUGUCCACACCAUAGGAUUGAAAACAUUUUUAUCCUCUAAUAAAUUGAUUGGACAUUGACCUGAAAUAUAACUGAUUAAACUAUAUCAAACAAUUAUUAACAAUAGAAACUUAUUAAAUCUUUCAGAAGUAACAAGGGUAGAUAUACAAUCUCAUCUGUAAUAGGAUACUUUAUAGGUAUUUUAAAAGUGCCUUCUUUGGGUACCAUAAUGCUUUAAUGGAACAGCCAUGAUGAGCAGAUGUAAAUAUAAGAUGGGCUAAACCCUGGUUCCUCAACAGUCACUGAAAGAGUUUAAUAAAAAAUGAUCUUAGCUGGUUAAAACUCUUAUACAAGAGAUUAUUAAUUUACCUACUGAAUUAAGGUUAUUGUUAGAGAUGAUAGCAGAUCUUGGAUAAAAAUAUUUCUUUCUCAACACCAUUUCUUAAUUUUUAUUUCAGGAAGAACAAGAAAGGCAGUCAAAGAUAAUGCAGGAAAGAGAAAAGAAAAAGCCAACCAAUUUUGGACUAAAUUUUCUUGGCAGAAGAUAAUUAACUUUGUAAAUAGUUAGCUUUAUUGAAUCAAUUGUACUUGAUGUCGUAUGUGACUUACAAUAAGUUGAAAAAAUGACUAUUUCUUAGAAAAAGUAUGUUGUGAUGUUUUUUUUUUAAUUCACUUGUGUAAACUUUGUUUUAUGAUUCAGAAUUCCGUCUUUUCUCUUUGUAAAUGAGCUGGCUACAUCCCAAUUUCAAUAGUAUUGUCAACUUAUCGCCAAUGAAGCUUUAAUACAGGUCUAAAAAAUCUCUGUAUAUGUUUUGUGGCUGUGUCAUACUUGUUAAUGUGAUAUCACAAGUCAAACAAAGAUGAAAUCAAUGAUUAUUUAUAUAAGAAGUCUAUAUAGAUAUGAUGCCAAGCUAAUGACAUAAAUAUAGAUUAUUACAUUGAUACAAGUGGAUUAUCGGAUUUAUCCAAUCGAGAUAGUUAAAUUAUCAAUUUUAAAGUCCGAGCUCGGUAAUCCGAUAACUCCACGAGUUUACUAUGUAAUAAUGUGUUUCUUAAUGAUUAAAAGAAAAUUUUUCCUUUUUCUAAAAGAAAAUCCC
This 1358-nucleotide long non-coding RNA is filed under the name Mytilus galloprovincialis (Mediterranean mussel). Lineage: Eukaryota; Metazoa; Mollusca; Bivalvia; Mytilida; Mytilidae. The record is from RNAcentral.